This 492-nucleotide ribosomal RNA is filed under the name uncultured bacterium. RNAcentral's name for it is "partial 16S ribosomal RNA". It matches the Rfam family "Bacterial small subunit ribosomal RNA", at positions 29 to 507 of the family's 1533-position model. The record is from RNAcentral.
AGUGAACGCUGGCGGUAGGCCUAACACAUGCAAGUCGAACGGCAGCACAGUAAUAGCUUGCUCUUACGGGUGGCGAGUGGCGGACGGGUGAGGAAUACAUCGGAAUCUACUUUUUCGUGGGGGAUAACGUAGGGAAACUUACGCUAAUACCGCAUACGACCUACGGUUGAAAGCAGGGGAUCUUCGGACCUUGCUCGAUUGAAUGAGCCGAUGUCGGAUUAGCUAGUUGGCGGGGUAAAGGCCCACCAAGGCGACGAUCCGUAGCUGGUCUGAGAGGAGGAUCAGCCACACUGGAACUGAACCACGGUCCAGACUCCUACGGGAGGCAGCAGUGGGGAAUAUUGGACAAUGGGCGCAAGCCUGAUCCAGCCAUACCGCGUGGGUGAAGAAGGCAUUCGGGUUGUAAAGCCCUUUUGUUGGGAAAGAAAAGCAGCAGGUUAAUACCCCGCUGUUCUGACGGUACCCAAAGAAUAAGCACCGGCUAACUUCGUG